AACGAACGCUGGCGGCGCGCCUAAUACAUGCAAGUCGAGCGAGAAGACGUAGCAAUACGUUUGUAAAGCGGCGAACGGGUGAGGAAUACAUGGGUAACCUACCCUCGAGUGGGGAAUAACUAGCCGAAAGGUUAGCUAAUACCGCGUACGCUCCUUGGACUUCGGCUCAGGGAGGAAAGCGAUACCGUGGGUAUCGCGCUCUUGGAUGGGCUCAUGUCCUAUCAGCUUGUUGGUGAGGUAACGGCUCACCAAGGCUUCGACGGGUAGCUGGUCUGAGAGGACGAUCAGCCACACUGGCACUGCGACACGGGCCAGACUCCUACGGGAGGCAGCAGUAAGGAAUAUUGCGCAAUGGGCGAAAGCCUGACGCAGCGACGCCGCGUGGGGGAUGAAGGUCUUCGGAUUGUAAACCCC
RNAcentral lists this ribosomal RNA (414 nucleotides) under uncultured bacterium. RNAcentral describes it as "bacterial SSU rRNA". It matches the Rfam family "Bacterial small subunit ribosomal RNA", at positions 29 to 433 of the family's 1533-position model. The record is from RNAcentral.